AUGAGCUUUCAAAAUGGGCGCCUCUUAGUUAGCCGUUAUUUUAACUCUUUAUACGUAAUCACAUGUUUCCCUCUCAUUUUGAAUUGACUUGUUUCUUUAUAAUGGUUUUUGUUUUUAAUUUUGUUUGUGGUUGAUUUUGAUUUUAAUUGGAUUGGUAAAAGAAGGUGUAUUGCUUUAUGGAUUACUCAAUGGACUAACCAAUUGGCUUGUUAAUGGACUAAUUUGCUGGACUAUAAGUACAUCAAUGUUUGGUUGGCGAGAUUUCAAUGGUGAACAUGAGUUUAGCAGGAGAUAAGUCUAAUUAUGUACUUAUGUUAUAAAUUGUAACAAAUGAAAGACGAAGACCGAUGAAGGUACAAUCUGCUGGUAUAUUUCUUGGGGACAAUUAUCAGGCUUUGGAAGACGUCGAUUCUCUCGGAAUAAUCUUAAUAUAUCUUGGCCAUCCAUUCCCUAAUACAAAAGGAAACAAGAUGGAAAGAAAGAGUGAUAAGUCAUAAUAAGUUUACCAUUGGAAAAAAAGAGGGAAAAUUGAAUCAAUAGCAAUAUUAUUAUUACCAGGCGCAAAGGAAGGAUCAAAAGUGAAAAGUGAAAGAGAAAUGGAUGAGCAAAGGAGGAGAAAAACAUUCAACGGAUAUUGGAAUCAUUUUUCAAGAUGAAAAGAAAGAUUGGAAAGAUGAUGAUCAAAGGGAAAGGCCAAUAUUGAUAGGGAUGGAGAAUAAUAAUCAUGUAAAGAGAUGAUGAUGAAAAUAUUAAGUACAAACGGUUGACCCAAAGAUUGAAUAAUGAAAAAUGAAAAGAGAAGGAGAAAAAAAAGGAAUGAAUAAGCAAGAUAAAUACUAGAAGAUGAAGACAAGAAGGAAAAACAGUGAACAUGAUGGUACAACAGAGAGCAGAAAGUAGAGUAAAAAGAGUAAGUGAUGAUAAUGAUGAUGAUUAUGUUGUUGUUGAUGUUGAUGAUGAUCUAGUAUAAGAUGAAGUAAAUCAAAUUGGGCGUUGAUGAAAGAUUCAAGUUAACAUUACGGUUAACUUAAAGCAAAGUACGAAGCAAGAAGUUAUUAAUAUAUCUAGAAUCAAGAAAAAAAGCCAAAGACUCUGUUGGAUACUUGCAGUUGGAAACUAAUUUCAUUUCUGAUUUUUCUAAUCAACAAACAUAUGACAAGGAUUGAUUACAAAUAAUAGUAAACACUAAAUGAUAUAACUGAUGGUGCAACGAUAUUGAAUAACUUUUAAUAUACCAACAUUUCCCUCAAUCUGGUAAUUCAUUCAAUCAACUUCAUUCUCUUCACCUGGAAUUGCUACAGUUAUACACACACACACACAAAAGAAGGAAGCUAAUUGUUUCAAACCUAAUAUGGAUCCAACCUAAUGUGAUUAUCGAGGAAAAAUGAUGAAUACAAAAAGUGAAACUAAAAGUGAAUCUGGUUAAUUUGUUUCAAGAUUGUCAUUUAAUACUGACAUGCAACUCUUGAAACAAAAAAGCUUUCUUGCAUGAACAAACUUGUGAAUCGUUUUAAUAUCAUCGUGUGUUUGAAAUGAAAAAAAACAAGUUACACAAUUUUAAUUUGUAUUAAUAGAAGACGAGAAAAUUAUUAUCAUUGAAGUUGUCAACUGUCAAAACUAAAAGAUAAUUAAAUCUGUUGUAAUUUCAUUUCUGUCAUCAUCAUCAGGAGAGUAACUAUUUUGCAGCAUUUCAACAUUUGUGAAUAAAAAUCGUUUUCACAACAGA
Molecule: long non-coding RNA, 1726 nt
Organism: Tetranychus urticae (two-spotted spider mite)
Lineage: Eukaryota; Metazoa; Arthropoda; Arachnida; Trombidiformes; Tetranychidae
Source: RefSeq, a predicted model, not a curated record